UAUCGGAAGUGCGGCUGGAUCACUCCUUUUGAGUAUGGUGAAAAUAAUUGUCUUAUCAGGCGUCCUCACAAGUUACUUGCAUUCAGGGUUUGAUGUUGGCAUAGGUUUGGGUUUAUGUUGGCGAUUUUUGUUCUGGGGGCCUUAGCUCAGCUGGUAGAGCACCUGCUUUGCAAGCAGGGGGUCGUCGGUUCGAUCCCGACAGGCUCCACCAUGAAAGUAUUUAUGGGUCUGUAGCUCAGGUGGUUAGAGCGCACCCCUGAUAAGGGUGAGGUCGGUGGUUCGAGUCCUCCCAGACCCACCAAUGUUAUAUCAAUUAUUCUGAAUGUGGUUUGCGCAUUUUUUAUGCUUAUCAGCCUUGGAGCUGUGAAGCGUUCUUUUAUAAUUUGAUGAUGUAGCAAGCGUUUGAACUUUUUAUUAAUAAUUUCUCAUUGGAAGCCUUAAGUGACAAUGUUUAUCCAUUGUCUUGUAGAUUUUGAGGCGACUUUGGGUUAUAUGUCAAGCGAAUAAGCG
RNAcentral lists this unclassified non-coding RNA (510 nucleotides) under Xylella fastidiosa. RNAcentral describes it as "16S-23S ribosomal RNA intergenic spacer". The stretch from base 136 to 208 matches the Rfam family "tRNA". The record is from RNAcentral. Lineage: Bacteria; Pseudomonadati; Pseudomonadota; Gammaproteobacteria; Lysobacterales; Lysobacteraceae.